RNAcentral lists this ribosomal RNA (478 nucleotides) under uncultured bacterium. Its description in RNAcentral is "partial 16S ribosomal RNA". It matches the Rfam family "Bacterial small subunit ribosomal RNA", at positions 28 to 523 of the family's 1533-position model. The record is from RNAcentral.
GACGAACGCUGGCGGCGUGCCUAACACAUGCAAGUCGAGCGAUGAAGCUUCUUCGGAAGUGGAUUAGCGGCGGACGGGUGAGUAACACGUGGGUAACCCGCCUCAUAGUGGGGAAUAGCCUCUCGAAAGGGAGAUUAAUACCGCAUAAGAUUGUAGUUCCGCAUGGAACAGCAAUUAAAGGAUUUAUUCGCUAUGAGAUGGACCCGCGGCGCAUUAGCUAGUUGGUGAGGUAACGGCUCACCAAGGCGACGAUGCGUAGCCGACCUGAGAGGGUGAUCGGCAACAUUGGGACUGAGACACGGCCCAGACUCCUACGGGAGGCAGCAGUGGGGAAUAUUGCACAAUGGGGGGAACCCUGAUGCAGCAACGCCGCGUGAGUGAUGACGGCCUUCGGGUUGUAAAGCUCUGUCUUCAGGGACGAUAAUGACGGUACCUGAGGAGGAAGCCACGGCUAACUACGUGCCAGCCGCCGCCGUAA